AGGAUAAACGCUGGCGGCGUGCCUAACACAUGCAAGUCGAACGCCCUUUAGCUUCGCAAGGAGUGGGAGGGAGUGGCGGACGGGUGAGGAACACGUGGGUGACCUACCUUUCAGUGAGGAAUACCGGCGAGAAAUCGCCGACAAGACCGCAUACGGUUGCUGCAUCAGCGCAGCAACGAAAGCUUCACGAGAGUGAGGCGCUGGAAGAUGGGCCUGCGGCCGAUUAGCUAGCUGGUGGGGUAACGGCCUACCAGGGCGACGAUCGGUAGCUGGUCUGAGAGGACGAUCAGCCACACUGGGAUUGAGAACGGCCCAGACUCCUACGGGGGGCAGCAGUGAGGAAUUUUCCGCAAUGGGCGAAAGCCUGACGGAGCGACGCCGCGUGUGGGAAGAAGGCCUUCGGGUCGUAACCACUGUCGAAGGGAGAUAAUGACGGUACCUUGGAGGAAGCCCGGCUAACUACGUGCCAGCAGCCGC
Molecule: ribosomal RNA, 477 nt
Filed under: uncultured bacterium
Lineage: Bacteria
Description: SSU rRNA
Rfam family: Bacterial small subunit ribosomal RNA
Source: RNAcentral